This is a long non-coding RNA of Pieris napi, 169 nucleotides long. RefSeq lists it as uncharacterized. The transcript is spliced from 2 exons. NCBI's taxonomy places the organism in Eukaryota, Metazoa, Arthropoda, Insecta, Lepidoptera, Pieridae. The record is from RefSeq and is a predicted model, not a curated record.
UUAAGAAUAUUAUCUUAACAAAAAGAUAAAAGAUGAUGUCACGCUAAAAGUGAUUCUCUCAGCAAAUGGGCUACGGAUUCAAAGUAAACAGGAUGGAUAGGUGUUUUAAAUUUUCAAAAUGUUACUAAAGGUAACCAAGCCAUCAGUGGUAGUUGUCAAGAAUGAGGAA